AAAAGGAUUCACAGGCUUACUAUCUCACAACAACCCUGGCAAGCAUACAAAAUUCAAAAUACAAAACUUCCAUCACAAAAAUGCAAGAGUACAACAAAUGCACUAGAAGAACACCAAAUGCCAGAGUGCUGCAUCUGCAAAAGGUGCAUAGAUCUAACAUCCUUUACAAUGUAACGCACCCUUUGUCAUCAGAUAUACAAAGGACCUGCUAAAAACAAUAGAUCUAACAAGUUCACUUUUCUUUUUCAUUUGGCAGAGAGUGAUAGCUUUGUCAUAAAAUUAGUGUAACUGAGAUGAGGAUGCUAUGAUCAGCACAUCGAGACUAUGACCAAAUUAAUAAGUGCAUCUGCAGAGAGGUGAUGAAAUUAUGGAAAGGUCAUAAAAAUGGUUCAAUCAUGUUCAACAUGAAGCGAGAAGACAUACAUGGAUGCACUAGUGAGGAAUAGUGAUCAGAUUGAAGUACUGGAGGUGAAGGGGAAGACAAACCAAAAUGACAUGAAUUAAACCAGUAUCUUUUAGCAUGACAACAUCAUUUAGAAGCUCAACCCAACAUAACAUUGACAGGAUAAGACAGAACCGAGUAGCUGACCACAACUCAGGUAUUUCAUUCUUGGGGCUUAAAAGAAUAAAAUUCAAUUAAGAUCCUUUUUCUUUUCCAACCAAGUAAACAGGACAGCUCAGAGGAGACUCCUAAACAUACAAAUCUGUAAUUUGAACUAAUAUAUUGUGAAAAUAGCAUGAAUCAGCUAGGGAUGGUACUCUAAACUUGUAAACAAUAUGCAAUUAAGUAAAUUAUUAGAAUGAAUCCCAAUCAAAG
This 817-nucleotide long non-coding RNA is filed under the name Populus trichocarpa (black cottonwood). RNAcentral's name for it is "long non-coding RNA (PTRI_LNC000373)". The record is from RNAcentral. Lineage: Eukaryota; Viridiplantae; Streptophyta; Magnoliopsida; Malpighiales; Salicaceae.